RNAcentral lists this long non-coding RNA (472 nucleotides) under Brachypodium distachyon (stiff brome). RNAcentral describes it as "long non-coding RNA (BDIS_LNC004656)". The record is from RNAcentral. Lineage: Eukaryota; Viridiplantae; Streptophyta; Magnoliopsida; Poales; Poaceae.
CCUAAUAAUAAAAGACUGCAAUAGCGCGCGACAGUCGUGCGAUGGGCAAAACGCGCGACGGCUCUCCGGCUGGGCGCUGUAUGCAUGGACGCCGUAUGCGCGUUCCGUUGACGGAAACGACUGUGCAUGCUGCACCUGCAUUCUAGUAGUUCGGAUUAAUCGGGAUAGGUUACAUAAUUACUGUGAGUGAGACUUGCGAUGAUUUUUUUUUUGUUUCUGUGCUAUUUUCCAGUCCUCCUCGCUGACACACAAAAAAUUGCCAUAUUUAAUUAUUAUAAAUUGUCAUUCCUUAUGCAUAAAAUUGCCACAUGAUUAACUAUUGUAAUUGCGGCGUUUAAUGGACACAAAUAACCAUGUUCAUACAUUUGGCCAAAUUUAAAGCACCACCACAUCUAGUUCUAACAUUUUCUCCACUCUUAAACGACCCACAAAACCGUUUCUUCAUGUCGCUCCUAAUAACGCAGAUUGCCGU